CGGAGCUGUUUGGGCUGACUGCCGAGGAAGUGUACCUGGUGCAUGAUGAGCUGGACAAGCCCCUGGGGAGACUGGCUCUGAAGCUGGGGGGCAGUGCCAGGGGCCACAAUGGAGUCCGUUCCUGCAUUAGCUGCCUCAACUCCAACGCAAUGCCAAGGCUGCGGGUGGGCAUCGGGCGCCCGACACACCCUGAGGCGGUACAGGCCCAUGUGCUGGGCUGCUUCUCCCCUGCUGAGCAGGAGCUGCUGCCUCUGUUGCUGGAUCGAGCCACCGACCUGAUCUUGGACCACAUUCGUGAGCGAAGCCAGGGGCCCUCACUGGGGCCAUGACACCAGUGGCCAUGGCUGCCCGCCUGACUGUAGUACCCACCAACCCAGCCAGGGCCACAGAGCUGCCAUGCCAGCCUUGGUAUCUACUUUUUAUACAACUGUCCUCUAGACUGUUCCAGGCUGCCUGCGGAUUAAAGUGGGGGUGACUGU
Long non-coding RNA from Mandrillus leucophaeus (drill), 479 nucleotides. RefSeq lists it as uncharacterized. The transcript has 3 exons. The annotation marks the transcript as partial. Lineage: Eukaryota; Metazoa; Chordata; Mammalia; Primates; Cercopithecidae. The record is from RefSeq and is a predicted model, not a curated record.